Pleuronectes platessa (European plaice) is the source of this 896-nucleotide long non-coding RNA. RefSeq lists it as uncharacterized. Lineage: Eukaryota; Metazoa; Chordata; Actinopteri; Pleuronectiformes; Pleuronectidae. The transcript is spliced from 2 exons. The record is from RefSeq and is a predicted model, not a curated record.
AACCGGCCUUGACCUUGUAGGAAACCAAAUAUUUGCAACCAAAAGCACUGGCACUGAUCCAUUGCUGAGUGUGUUAUGUGGAAGCUGACAUUAUCAGGUCUAGUGUCGCACAAGGACAGAAACACAGCAGAACAAAAAACUAGUGAUCGGAAAAAGCUGUUCACUGGAGAAACUCCUCAUGUGUCACUCGCAACACCAGUAGGAUGGAAAUGGCUGGAUUUGGGUCCGUGGCUGGGGCGGCUACGCUUGAAAGAUUUCAAACCGGUUGAGGGGGAUCCGUGGACAGAAUACAGCGAGAGUGGUUAUGUCUACCGCACUGUAUUAACUUAGUGGGAGAUCUUUACUUUAUUCUGUCAUGACAGACCCACAAAGCAUUCCUGAAUUGGCAGAGAUUCCAUCAUGAUUAUGGGAUAAACAAAUAUAUGAUGUGGAAUUGAUGAAAAACAUAAAACUACUAGUUGUUGUAGUAGAAAAAUUAACUAAAUAUGCUUAACAAACUAUUUUGUAUUUGGAUAGUAAGUUUCUGCAGCCUUGUAAGAGACUUUUAUGACUUGUAUUUACAUACACCAAAUGUUUAAGACUUGAGCUGUUUUAUGGUCGGAACUGUUAGUGUUGAAAUACGUUGAGACCAUUUGUUACUUAAUUACCCAUCAAAGGAAGGAGUGGAUGUCUUCUUAUCACCUAAGGAAACACAUGUGAAUCAGUUGCUAAUGUUUAGAUUCCUCUCCUUCCCCCACCCAUGUAUCCUUCCUGGAUUGGUUCAGAAGGACAGCCCUAAAUCCUCCUAUAUAAGAUCUGUGUUUUUGACUGUUCUUCAUCCUCACUCUGAGACCCUUGUGGUUUCCCUGUGUUGAUCCUUUCUGCAGAAAGCCCCUUAUUAAAUACACGUAGAUAAC